RNAcentral lists this unclassified non-coding RNA (240 nucleotides) under soil metagenome. Its description in RNAcentral is "partial contains 5.8S ribosomal RNA, internal transcribed spacer 2, and large subunit ribosomal RNA". The record is from RNAcentral.
AACACUGUUAACCUGCGGUACCUGCGGAAGGAUCAUUACAGAGUUGCAAAACUCCCUAAACCAUUGUGAACGUUACCUAAACCGUUGCUUCGGCGGGCGGCCCGGGUCCUUCCCGGCGCCCCUCGGCCCUCGCGGGCGCCCGCCGGAGGUAAACCAAACUAUUGCAUUGUAUGGCCUCUCUGAGUCUUCUGUACUGAAUAAGUCAAAACUUUUAGCAACGGAUCUCAGAUCGGAAGAGCA